GCCCCGCUUCGGGCUUUCACUCCACCGCCCAGAUAGCUUUGCAAGGACGAGAAUAAUAACGCGGGAGCCGGGAGGAGGAGCGGGGAGUCUCCCGCCACGCCUCGGCGGGGUCGCAGGCCAGGGGUAACUCUUCAGCUGCAGGCAGCCCGGGGCCGUGCAGCGCCCUGCCCGCCUCAGCCCGCGGGAACCGCUACCGGCCGCCGGCGCCGGGCCGGCCAGCCUCGCGCCUCCGGCCCCGCCCCUUCCUGCCCGCCCCUGGCCCGAGCAGCGGCCUCACCAUGACCACCAAGGACUCGCUGUGGACCGACGGGAGCCCCCAGCCCCCUCCCCAGCAACUGAGCUCCAAGGGGGCCGCCAUCUUGCCGGGGCCAACCUCUGCUAUCCCGGAAGUACUUCUGCUGCCCGAUUUCCGGCAGCUGGACAAGUUCCUGCCACUAACUGGACCAGGGAUUGGAACCUAUUAUGAAAAGCGCCAUCUAUAUGCUAAGCACAAGAUCAGCAGCCUCUGAAGAAGCCUGAUUCAGAUAAAACCAAGAGCUUCCUCACACUCCUUCCCUGUUGAAAUGUGUAACUCCAAAGAACUUGGAAAUGUUAGCAUUCCGAUUUUGCUUGUCUUGUUAGAGGCUUGCACCAGCAACUGCUGAAAACCCACAAACAUGGACAAAUUGCUUUUAAUUCCAACCUUGGAUGAACUGAUUCAAAUAGGAUGGAUUAAUCUAUUCCACACUCUCUGUGCUGCUGCUAAUGAAGAAGACUAAAGAGCAAAUGAAAUACCUCUCACCUUUUCUUUUGUAUUGUCGUUGGGCUUGGGAUGCUCCAGACCAAGCUACUCUAUGAGGUUGUGACACUUCCCUUAACACAAGCCUCCACUUAACAGCCAGGGGAAACCUUUCCCCUAGAUAGCUGAAUAGGUUACCAUCAGUUUCCUCAGCUGCAUGAGCUCCACCUCAAUUGAUAAACAGGAAUAUUUAUAAAGAA
Myotis myotis is the source of this 978-nucleotide long non-coding RNA. RefSeq lists it as uncharacterized. NCBI's taxonomy places the organism in Eukaryota, Metazoa, Chordata, Mammalia, Chiroptera, Vespertilionidae. The record is from RefSeq and is a predicted model, not a curated record. The transcript is spliced from 4 exons.